CCUACGGGAGGCAGCAGUGAGGAAUAUUGGUCAAUGGGCGUAAGCCUGAACCAGCCAAGUCGCGUGAGGGAUGAAGGUUCUAUGGAUUGUAAACCUCUUUUAUAAGGGAAUAAAGUGUGGGACGUGUCCUAUUUUGUAUGUACCUUAUGAAUAAGGAUCGGCUAACUCCGUGCCAGCAGCCGCGGUAAUACGGAGGAUCCGAGCGUUAUCCGGAUUUAUUGGGUUUAAAGGGUGCGUAGGCGGCCUUUUAAGUCAGCGGUGAAAGUAUGUGGCUUAACCAUAGAAUUGCCGUUGAAACUGGAGAGCUAGAGAAUGUUUGAGGCAGGCGGAAUGAGUGAUGUAGCGGUGAAAUGCUUAGAUAUCACGCAGAACCCCGAUAGCGAAGGCAGCCUGCCAGGCCAUGACUGACGCUGAUGCACGAGAGCGUGGGGAUCAAACAGGAUUAGAUACCCCGGUAGUC
Molecule: ribosomal RNA, 460 nt
Filed under: uncultured bacterium
Lineage: Bacteria
Description: partial 16S ribosomal RNA
Rfam family: Bacterial small subunit ribosomal RNA
Source: RNAcentral